AUUGAACGCUGGCGGCAGGCCUAACACAUGCAAGUCGAACGGUAACAGGAAACAGCUUGCUGUUUCGCUGACGAGUGGCGGACGGGUGAGUAAUGUCUGGGAAACUGCCUGAUGGAGGGGGAUAACUACUGGAAACGGUAGCUAAUACCGCAUAACGUCGCAAGACCAAAGAGGGGGACCCUCGGGCCUCUUGCCAUCGGAUGUGCCCAGAUGGGAUUAGCUUGUUGGUGGGGUAGCGGCUCACCAAGGCGACGAUCCCUAGCUGGUCUGAGAGGAUGACCAGCCACACUGGAACUGAGACACGGUCCAGACUCCUACGGGAGGCAGCAGUGGGGAAUAUUGCACAAUGGGCGCAAGCCUGAUGCAGCCAUGUCGCGUGUAUGAAGAAGGCCU
RNAcentral lists this ribosomal RNA (393 nucleotides) under uncultured bacterium. Its description in RNAcentral is "bacterial SSU rRNA". It matches the Rfam family "Bacterial small subunit ribosomal RNA", at positions 30 to 417 of the family's 1533-position model. The record is from RNAcentral.